GCCGAAAUAGCUCAGUUGGGAAAGCGUUAGAGUGAAGAUCCAAAGGUCCCUGGUUCGAUCCCGGGUUUCGGCA
Molecule: transfer RNA, 73 nt
Filed under: Cordylochernes scorpioides
Lineage: Eukaryota; Metazoa; Arthropoda; Arachnida; Pseudoscorpiones; Chernetidae
Description: tRNA-Phe
Rfam family: tRNA
About the family: Transfer RNA (tRNA) molecules are approximately 80 nucleotides in length.
Source: RNAcentral